Molecule: long non-coding RNA, 337 nt
Filed under: Notechis scutatus (mainland tiger snake)
Lineage: Eukaryota; Metazoa; Chordata; Lepidosauria; Squamata; Elapidae
Description: lncRNA (ENSNSUG00000011722.1)
Source: RNAcentral
CAGCCAGAACAUGUCUUUGGAAGAGACGCGACAGCUGAUCGAACAGUCUGAGGGAAAACUUACCUUACUUGUUUUACGUGAUAACAGCCAGUUCUUGGUCAACAUCCCUCAAGUGAGAGACAGCGAUACUGAAAGUUCCCACCUGGACGAUAUAUCUGAUCUUGGUUCAGACAUCUCGCCUCCCCCUCCUGUGGGAAGUACACCCCAUUCUCCUCAAUCUCCAACAAGGGAUUCUCUCCGAUCAAACAGGGACUACAGCAGACAAGAGACAGCAACGGAAGAGUUGACUUCACCACCCGUUCUUAGUAAGUGCCUUGAACUUAGCUUCUCUUGUAAG